This 429-nucleotide ribosomal RNA is filed under the name Bacteroidota bacterium. Its description in RNAcentral is "Bacteroidetes bacterium partial 16S ribosomal RNA". It matches the Rfam family "Bacterial small subunit ribosomal RNA", at positions 355 to 776 of the family's 1533-position model. The record is from RNAcentral. Lineage: Bacteria; Pseudomonadati; Bacteroidota.
UAGGGAAUCUUCCGCAAUGGACGCAAGUCUGACGGAGCAACGCCGCGUGAGUGAAGAAGGAUUUCGGUUCGUAAAACUCUGUUGUUAGAGAAGAACAGCGCAUAGAGGAACUGUUAAGCGUGUGAAGGUAUCUAACCAGAAAGCCACGGCUAACUACGUGCCAGCAGCCGGGGUAAUACGUAGGUGGCAAGCGUUGUCCGGAUUUAUUGGGCGUAAAGCGAGCGCAGGCGGUCAAUUAAGUCUGGUGUGAAAGCCCCCGGCUCAACCGGGGAAGUUCAUUGGAAACUUGUUUUCUUGAGUGCAGACGAGGAGAGUGGAAUUCCAUGUGUAGCGGUGAAAUGCGUAGAUAUUUGGAGGAACACCGGUGGCGAAAGCGGCUCUCUUGUCUGUAACUGACGCUGAGGCUCGAAAGCGUGGUGUGCUAACAGG